Pyrus x bretschneideri (Chinese white pear) is the source of this 1400-nucleotide long non-coding RNA. RefSeq lists it as uncharacterized. The record is from RefSeq and is a predicted model, not a curated record. The transcript is spliced from 3 exons. Lineage: Eukaryota; Viridiplantae; Streptophyta; Magnoliopsida; Rosales; Rosaceae.
AUUAAAAAAAAUGUAAUUUGGGGGAUUAGGGUACGGAUUAGAUUAGGGUUAGGGGAAUUUUCUAAUUUAGAAGAAUGGUAUAUAAUUAGGGCCAAUGAAGUUAGGGCUAAUUUGUAAUUAGUGGGAAUUUAAUUAGAAAAUGUAAUUUGGGGGAUUAGGGGGAUUAAGGUUUUAAUUAUUAUUCUUAUUUAUCAAAUUAAGGUUAGGGAUAGCUUUUAUUGGCCGGAUUAGGUUAGGGUUCUAGGAGAAUAGGUUACGGUUCUGGUGGAUUAAUUUCAAUUUGUACAAAAUAGUUAUAUACUGUUAUUUUGUAAUUACACAUUUAGUUUUAAAUUUGCUUACAUAUACGAUUUAAUUUUUAAAUUAUUAACUUUAGUUUUAAUUUCAUUUCUCUUUCAAUUUUGUAGAUGUCUUACCUUAUAUCUACCCGGAAGGCCACGAGCCGUGGGUCCCUUGCACAUCCUCUACCACCUCCUACUGCGAGGAGCACCCCAACGACAAUGGACCCUCUCAUGGUUGCAUCAGGAGGCCCGAUGUGGCACAGGCACCAGCAUCAUCGAUGUCUUCGUUUGCGCUUCCGCUUAGUGCGCAUUGUACUCACCAGUGUCCCCAGACUCCCGACACGAUAUCCAUAUCCGCAUUUGCAUUUGACGCCACCCACCCAGAAAAACACCUAGGGAGCUUGCCAACUAGCUAAAGACGGGGUAGGUCUCUUAGGUGACAAAUGAUCGUAUCACGAUAGGAUACGACGAGAGGCAUCAGGCUGCACCUACAGCAGAGUAGCAUAGUGCAUUGGCCCACGACGUGGGACAUGUCGUUAGGACUGAGUACCCUAUGCUAUGGAAAUCAUGGCGUGAGGUCCUGGCGAAGACGAAGAACCUAGUCUGCGACUGUUUAUCGAUAAGUUCCUAAAUUUGUUUCAUUCAAUUAUAUAUCAAGUUCAUAUUUUUAUAUUAUUUUUUUUCCUUUUUCAACUUUAACUUCAAUUUUAAUUUUGGUUUUUCUAUUAUUUUAAUCUAAUGCUCGGUAAAUUGUAGACAAACUACAAUUUUGACGACAUAAACAAGUCGAUGGAUGGCUACCUGGACAAGUUGUUUUUCGUGUGGUACAAGCAAUGGAAGAGCGACCUCCAUAAACAUUAUGAGUUGUUUGAUGAUCAGGAGGUCGCUCUAAAGGAUGGUUGCCUAUUGGAGUUGGUGGAUCAGCUAGAUGAGUGGGCAUGGUUUGCGGCCAUUUUCAAGAGCCGCCUAUGUGAAGAAGGCGAAGGUGAACAAGAUCAAUCGGGAGAAGAAAAUGUUCUCCAUUAUUCUGGUUCAUGACCCUUCUCCCAUAGGAUGGAAGCGUGACGACAGGUAAUGAGAGUUUAAUAUUUGCACUUCCAAUUUCUUACAAAUAUAUUU